RNA transcript from Crotalus tigris (Tiger rattlesnake), 7538 nucleotides. It is a transcript of the gene named BTB domain containing 6, with no coding region annotated. Lineage: Eukaryota; Metazoa; Chordata; Lepidosauria; Squamata; Viperidae. The transcript is spliced from 5 exons. The record is from RefSeq and is a predicted model, not a curated record.
UUUGUGCCCUUUCGCCAUUGGAGCAGUCGCCGAUGACGCGCAAUGCUGCUGCUGACUAUUUGAGGCAGCAGCAACAUUGGGAAGAAGUGGCGGUGGUGGUGCUAACAACAGCGGGGAGACGGGAAGGAAAGCACGUACAGGCGAGGAGCGCACACGCGGACGGCCACGGGCGCCCAGUCCUGCAAAGCUGCGACUCCUACCGACUUUCGAAAUAGGACAGGGUAGGAAGGAGACCCGGCCUCGCCAGGAGGCGAGAAAAAGAAGCAUCUCCAGCCCGGCGCCGGAGACCACAAGAACCCGGACUCCAGCGUAGAGGUCGAUGCUUCCCUCUCCUGCAGCUUGGCUUGGCGAGUGUCGCUUUUAAAGCAAAAAGGGGACGGGAAGGGACAGAAAAAACUUCCGCUCGUAAGAAAAGCGGCCGGAUCGUAUGCCUCUCUCCUUCGCCAUCCUUCGGCCUCUGGGAUUUUACCGCUCGGGAGACUGAGGACUUGCAACCUGAAUUGUGGAAUAAUAAUAAAUAACCAUAAGCGAGAUCUACAGCUGCUUCGCGGAUGUUGGCCCUUCGCCCGGAAAACGGGCGAAAGCCGGGUUUCCUGCUUUCGCGUGUCCUCCCGCCUCACCGAGAACCUUGGCAGAAGUUUACAUUGCUCCGGGGUCAGGGGCUGCUCUCGCUUCUUAAAGGAAAAUCGGCAUCGUAACAGCUCCUUGGACUUUCCGGAGCGGGAUCCGGGCAAAUCCUGCCCCGCGGCUUGCGCUUCGGAGAGCCUUGCACCAUCCCCAGCGUCCUUCCCUCCCCACCGCCAGGUGAGCGAUGAGUCAUUAAAGCAUCAUCGCUGCGCCACCAGCCGGAACACAAAAGAUGCUUUAGGCACCAAUCCUUCAAACAAGGCGCUGUAGUUUGUUUUUGCUGUCCUUCAAAAGGGGUUUAAAAAAAAUCUUUCUAAGCGAGAGUGCGCUCGACUGAUGGCCGCGGAGGGGGAUCCCUCCCGCUGAUGCCCCUGGACCAUGAUUGCUUCUAUGGGCGGAUCAUGAAGUGUUUGACUUUCUUUCUUCUGCUUCCAGAGACCUUAAAGAAGUCCAAAAAGAGCGUCCGGGCCAACAGCAAAGGGGCACCAUGCUAUGAGAUAUUGCCCCUGGGCCUCAAAAAGAAGAUGGCUGCGGAACUUUACCCUGCCAGCGCCAAUACCAAUCUCGCAAACAGCAAUAACGCCGCCGCCGCCAACACCAAGAAAAACGCCCUUCAGUUCCAGCAGAGCGCGCAGCCCCCGCCGCCGCCGCCGCUGCAAAACCUCAACAACAACAACGUGGAGAGCGCUAACUGGCAGUCCUUCCACCCCACCCUGCGAGAGAGAAACGCACUGAUGUUCAACAGUGAACUUAUGGCUGAUGUGCAUUUCAUUGUGGGCCCAGUGGGGGCAGCAAAGAAAGUUCCUGCUCACAAGUAUGUAUUGGCAGUGGGUAGUUCGGUCUUCUACGCAAUGUUUUAUGGAGAUCUUGCAGAGGUCAAGUCUGAAAUCCAUAUACCAGAUGUAGAACCUGCUGCUUUCCUAAUCUUGUUAAAAGAUCCAGGUUCCAGGUUGUCUCUUUGAAAUAUAUGGGGGAAAGAAGCUACAUCAAUCCUGCAGACAAAUAUACAAACUGUAACAUGUCACUGCAUAUUCCAAUAUAUGAAAGGUAAGUUUCUGAGAUCAGGUGGAGGUGAAAUUCCAUGUGAAUUACAACCUAAAAAAGAACUAUCCUGUCAUAAACUGCUGCGAUUCCUGCAGUUUCAAAAAUCUCUUCAUCAGCCCACAUGCAACGAAAGUAAAAAUAAAAACAAGCAAGCAAGCAGCCUUGCACUUUAUCCUCAGAGGUGUCAAAGAGAAGUGAGAAGUAGAAAAACAUCUUCCCAGGACAAAGCGGAAAGUGCAAAAUAGUCAACUUCCUUUACAGUAUCCAAAGCUCAUAAUCUACCAAUACAUGUGAUUCUCAAUUUUACUUUCAGUUAUUGGACAAUGAAAAAAUAAUAAGUAGAAAGUUAGAGAAAAGAUCAGUACACAGUGUUAUCCAGAAAAACUGGAUGCUAACAACAUCAAAACUGUUCAAGUUCAGAAUUUCAAAAUAGGCUUUCUUAAUGCAUCUGUAGACAGCAGGCUAUGAAUCAUCUCAUUCAAGAACUCUUGGUAGAAGCAAUCACAUUCUCCAUGCUUGUUAAUCAUUUGUUCUUUACUAUUUACGGAACUAUGCAAUAUAUAAAAUUCUGUAAAAUUACUGAAAAUAAAUUUUACUGCAUUUUUAAUCAAAAACCCUACAGCUUUAACAUUUGCCAAGUUUAGUUUUACCCUUUUCACUGAGUAGCUAUAGAAAACUGAUCAACAAUCCAUGUUUUGUUUGAGAAGUCAAACAAGACAUCUGAGCCAAAUGUUGUACUAUUCUCUUAUUCUCUCAUUAAAUUUAUGCUUAAACCUUUCCAUUUAAAGAAAGGGGUAAUGCAUUACCCCUUUCUUUAAAAGGAAAGGUAUGAGCAUAAUGAAACAUUAUGAGUAUUAAUAAAACAAUUUUAUGUAGUGAAUACAAUGCUGGCCUAGAAACUAGAAGACUAUGAAUUCUAGACUUUGACCAGCUUCUCUCUUUCUCUCUCUCAGCCCAACCCAUCUCACAGGGCUGUUGUGGGGGGAAAAAGGAGGAAGAAGGAGUAUUAGAUAUGUUCGGCACCUUGGUUACUUAUGAAGUAAUAAAGGAGGAAUAAAAAUCAAAUAAACAAACAAACAAACAAACACUUUGAGCUAUCAUUCCCUACUCUCUACCUUGCCUUCUUGUCUUUGUGGCAAGUUAAAACUACAAUCUUCUGGGUUGCUUCAGUGUUAAGCCAGCAGAAUGGAAGCAGGAGUCUGUCAUGGGCAAUUUCAAAUAAAUUGCAAAAGAAAGGCAAAGAAAAUAAAUGAAAAAGGGAGAUACAGUUGGAAUGAUUACCAGUUAUUAGGCUCCAGUAAAUUUCAAUUUAGGUAUCUUAUUAUAUAUUUUAAAUGCAUCUAUGUUCUUAAGACGUACCACAUUAUUCCAGUAUCUCAAAAAUUCAAGGGAGAAAUUGGCUGGAUUCACACAUAAAUACAAACUAUAAUACCGUUAGUUGUUUGGGGGUUAAUGUAUCAACUCCCAUAUUGUUCAACAAAACAAGAUCACAGAUCCACGAUCAAAAUUAUGUGUAAAUAUAUCCACAGUUCCAAACCAGAGAUUACAAUAGAAUCAGAACUCCAUAAUUUAAAACUUAAACCAUGGGUCAGGAUUUUCAGUCUAAAAGGAUAAAGAUUUAGAGUUGCAUAUAUAAUUAUCCUUAACACUCCCUUUUCUACAGAGCAGGAGCUUUUCAGAUGUAAGGCAGUGGCUGUAACCACGAUCACCCUUAGUGAAAACCCCAAUGUAACAAUGUUAUCCACACUGAUUUCGUAUUCUGGUUUGCCGAUCCUAAACUAUGAUUUCUCAAUUUAUAUUUUAUAGAAGUAAUAGUUAAACUUCUUAGCAUGAUUUCAGAUGUCUAAAUUCACCUACUAAGUUAGAUAUGGCAAAGUAAAACCUACUUCACACACUCAAAAAAUAUUACUAAACAUUUUAUCUAAUCUUUAGCUUAAAAAAAGCUCCAUAGCUAAACUGAGAGAUUAGAUUGAAUAAGACUUGUCUGUCUGUCUACAAGUACUUUCAAACAACAAAAAAAAUCUAAGCAUCUUAGGAAAGUAAUGUACCAUACAUAUAACAUACAUAUAUAAUAUCAACAACUGAAAAUCAGCAGCCACCAUCAAUUAUACUGUACCUACAUAUUCUAAGUACCUGUCACCUCAGCAUCUCAAUCCUCUCAACUAAUCAUCCAAUUUCCACCAACAUUUUAUCAAGGAUAAAGGAUGUUGGAGGCAGCCGUACCACAGGAGGGGAGCACUGGCAAACCAUACUCUCUUUCAAGAUCCUUCUCAUUAUGCCUUAUGGGGGAUGAGAGCUCUACUGGCCCAUCAUCUUUGGUGGGCAGACUCUACAUGCAGCAACAGAUGUGCAUAAACCUAGACAGCCAGCCAUGUAGGACUAAUUGGUACUAGCACCUGUAAACAAAUAGACAGUCAAUGCAGCUGCUAUGACAAUACUGGGAUAACUGUUAGGCAGUUGCAUUCUACAGGUUUUGAGGUAUCCUCAAGAUUAGUCUCAUGUUUGGCAUGUUACAGUGGUCCCUUUAGGAUUUCCCAAAAUGUGAAGUACACCUCCAUUGUGGGAAGUACAGACAAUCCUGGGCAGGUAUGGAGAACCUUUCAGUUAUACAUUAUUACCAGAAGUCACCUUCCACAAAAUUUAAUUGUACUGUUUACAUUGUUUAUUUAUGUUCAGUUAGUGUUUGGGUUUUUAGGGGAGAUGUGUACAUUAAGAUUAUACUAAAGGGAGGUGUGAUGGCAAAACAUUUAGGAACCCUUGCUUUAGGAGGAUGACAAGGGCACGAGUGACUAUAUCAUACCUCUCUUCUAGGAACUGGAAUUUUUACAAUAGCCAAAGCUAGGCAAAAGUCUCUCCUGGCCACAGUGUUACUUUGGUCUUCAGCACGAGCUGUGAGUCCAUAAGAAUCUUCGACUACAGUAACCAGCUUCUUGUUCGGGAUCGCGGCGCUCGCAGUUGUGCAAGGAGACGGCUCUCCUUGCCAGCUGAUUCUCCGCUGCCAGUAGACCCUAAAUCGGGUCGAAAAGCCGCCUUGGAGUGGUGGCUACCGGUGAGGAGGUCCUCGCCAUCCUUGGGAGAGCGGCAGCUUCUUCCAGGGACUGAGAUUGCUCCUUUGGGCCGAUGGUGGAAAGAACAGCCAGUAAAAUGGGCGUUCAUCUAGCCGCUGCAACCAGAAGUCAGAAGAACAUCUAAGCACAGGAACCACUGUGGCUGAGCUGGGUGAGACUUUUUUCUUUCCCUCUUUUGAUUCUCCUUUUUCUUUUGUGCCUGUAAAAAGCACUUUUGAAAUUAUUUCCCUGCUCUAAGAAAGUGGCGUUUGUGAGUGUGGAGAAAAGAAGCUUAAAUAGACUGAAUUAAUUUAAAGUGAUUUUUUUUUCCUAUUUUUAUUUUUUUUUUCCUUCACUUUGGGGUCUUGGAAAAUUUUGUGAAUAUUGAAUCUGCUACUGAGUUUCCUGAUCUUGUUUAGGAGAUUCCUGGUCUCUGGGAGAAGAUUUUACAUUGUACUGAGGACACCUUGUGGAAAACAUUAAAAUUGCAACUUUCUCUUUUUAGGAUUGGACUGACCUUGUCUUUCAGAUUAUCAUAAAAGGGAAAAUACAAAGAAAAUUAACAGCUGUACUGGUGGGGGUGGACACCGAUUAAAUGUUCUCUGAACACAGCCUCUACUAAAUGAUACAGACUGUUUUUUAUUAUCUUUGAAAUGGAGCAACCCUUGGUUCAACUUGACUAUAAACAUAUACUGGAAAAACUUUAUGAAGCUACUGAUGAAAUGUUUCAGGGAAUUUAACAAUCUUUAUGAGAAAAAAAAUGUGUAAAGGGAGAAAAGAACAUGUACCCCAGAAAAAGAGAAGUCUCAGCCCCUAACCAUGCCAAGUUAAUUACCUAUCUCUCAAAUCUCAUCAAUGCAUUUUCAUCUCACAGUGUCUCAAAUGUCUUAUUUCUAAUAUUAUUUUUUCAUUAACACAUAACUAAACAAAGCAGUCGCUUAACAAGGACUAUCUAUGUUGGGUUAGGAUGGAUGAAGCCCUUUGUAAAAUGUGUUUGAAUCGAGUGGUAAGAUUUCAUCUUGUUGUUUUGUAUUAUGUUUGUUAUAGCUUAAUGUAUUGUGAACUGUCCACAAUGCAGUUUGUAGUCAUGGUUUGGAGUCAUGCAGCAACUAAGUCACAAUAAACAAAUUAAAUAUAGACUAACUCUGGAAGUAUUUUAAAAGUCAGUUUAUAAAUGUUUCAAAUAAAUAUCUGCUUGUCCAAGACUACACCAUCUCUCUCACUGAUCACUUAGGAUUGAUGGAAGUUAAAUGAGCAAUUAACUCAUCCCUUUCAAAUAGAGAUUAAAUUUAAAUUAAUUCUGAAUUGAUCAAUUCAGCUACAUUUUUUGUAAAUGGAGAUAGUCCUUUAAAGGAGCAGGGCUGUAGACCCUCUCUGGUUUUCUUGCAUAAACAAUAUCUAAAAAAAUGCAGACUAUAUAGCAAUACAUUGUUCUCUAGCAAUUUUGCUUUUUUAAUUUUCAAUACACUAGAUAGACUUCAGCUCUUUAAAAGAGAACCUAUAUCUAUCCCAUCUGUUCCAAACAGCCAAUAAACAGGACAAAACUGCAGAUCUUUCCACUUGUAUGGAACAAAGCCAAAGGUAAAGAAUGCAAAGCUCUCUCCACUCACCAAAUGGAAAGGCCAUAAGCUUUUUUAGCUUAUGGCUUUUGGCUUUUAGUUUCUCACAUGUGCACACACCUGCUAGAAUAAGACAAUUCUAGCCAAAAUUUCAAGAAAUGUACUCUUCUAGGCAAGUGCCAACAACAUAUAUUGUUUCCUUUGUGUACUUCCAUUACAAAAGGAAAAUGUGCAUUAAAAUCUUUUAUAUGGAAUCCAGGAAGCUUGGCACAAGCUUGAAGUCCGUGAAGUCCAGUGUCCUGUAAAGCAACACUGUUAGGUGUAUCAUGGACCACUAUUCCCAUUAUUCUCCCAGCCAGACUCACUGAAGAUUAUGGAACUUGCAUUCCAUUGUACAAAUAGUCCUCGAAAUAUGACUGUAAUGGAUAUUGCCAUUACAGUCACAUGUUGUGAUGGUCGUUAUUGAAGCAUCUCACCUAAUGACCCUCCUGUUCCUAUUCUCCCCAAUGAAUCAUUAAACAAUUGCCUGGGUCUUUAAGUGGAGCAUGGGAUGCCUCAGAGGUGGGGAGGUCCUUAGAGGCCUAGCCUAGACCCAGGCCUACUUCUCCUGAUCCUACCUCAUUCAUGCGUGCCAACAUUUUGUUACAUGAAUAAAAGACUUUUUAGGAUAAACAAUAUCUGGAAGUUCUUUGAAGUGUUUCAUUAGUCGGAAUCAUGACAAAGGCCUUGCCUACUCAUCCCAAGACACCCUAUGCUCCGCUUCCUUCCCCUUGAGUCCUCCACAGUUCUUUUCCCAUUCCCAUCUUUAGGCCAGAUUCCCACCCUACCAGGCCAAACAUCUUCCUCCUCACUUAGUUUUAGAAGAGCUCCAAGGCCUUCCAGAGCACCGGGACGAAUUGCUUCUUUCUACAGCUGCAUAGCACAGGUCCAAAAACAGCCAGCAUUUCAUCCCACCCACAAAAUGGCGGCUGAGUUCAGAUUGCCACUGUGUGGCCCAGGGACAAACUUUAUUUUGCUGCCUUAAUGAGGUCUACACAGUUCUGCAAAAACUUUCUGCAGCAUUCAGAAGCUUCAGCAGCUCUGUGCAGACAUUGUUAAGGCAGCAAAAUAAAGCGGUUUGUCUGGAGGCUGCCAUUUUGUCCCCACCCACAAGCAGGCAUAUCAAAAUGGCAACCAUGUUCAGGCUGCCUCCGCAGGGCCGAGGGACAUGUGGCCUGCCCUCCUUCCCUAACAUGAGAACCAGAGAGCUUCAAAAGGUAAG